Molecule: transfer RNA, 86 nt
Filed under: Lentinula boryana
Lineage: Eukaryota; Fungi; Basidiomycota; Agaricomycetes; Agaricales; Omphalotaceae
Also listed under: 2 other names
Description: tRNA-Ala
Rfam family: tRNA
About the family: Transfer RNA (tRNA) molecules are approximately 80 nucleotides in length. Their secondary structure includes four short double-helical elements and three loops (D, anti-codon, and T loops). Further hydrogen bonds mediate the characteristic L-shaped molecular structure. tRNAs have two regions of fundamental functional importance: the anti-codon, which is responsible for specific mRNA codon recognition, and the 3' end, to which the tRNAs corresponding amino acid is attached (by aminoacyl-tRNA synthetases). tRNAs cope with the degeneracy of the genetic code in two manners: having more than one tRNA (with a specific anti-codon) for a particular amino acid; and 'wobble' base-pairing, i.e. permitting non-standard base-pairing at the 3rd anti-codon position.
Source: RNAcentral
GGGCAUGUAGCGUAGGGGUUAUCGCGUUCGCUUUGCAUGCGUAUCUUGCUUGCGAAAGGUCUCCGGUUCAAAUCCGGACUUGUCCA